RNAcentral lists this ribosomal RNA (489 nucleotides) under uncultured Lachnospiraceae bacterium. RNAcentral describes it as "partial 16S ribosomal RNA". The record is from RNAcentral. Lineage: Bacteria; Bacillati; Bacillota; Clostridia; Lachnospirales; Lachnospiraceae.
CACGUAGUUAGCCGGGGCUUCUUAGUCAGGUACCGUCAUUUUUCUUCCCUGCUGAUAGAGCUUUACGUACCGAAAUACUUCUUCACUCACGCGGCGUCGCUGCAUCAGGGUUUCCCCCAUUGUGCAAUAUCCCCCACUGCUGCCUCCCGUAGGAGUCUGGGCCGUGUCUCAGUCCCAAUGUGGCCGUUCACCCUCUCAGGCCGGCUACUGAUCGUUGCCUUGGUGGGCUUUUACCUCACCAACUAGCUAAUCAGACGCGGAACCAUCGUAUACCACCGGAGUUUUUCACACUGCUUCAUGCGAAGCUGUGCGCUUAUGCGGUAUUAGCACCUAUUUCUAAGUGUUAUCCCCCAGUAUACGGCAGGUUUUCCACGCGUUACUCACCCGUCCGCCACUAACUUAUAAUUCACUAGGUUUCGUUAUAAAUCCGUUCGACUUGCAUGUGUUAGGCACGCCGCCAGCGUUCAUCCUGAGCCAGGAUCAAACUCU